This 446-nucleotide ribosomal RNA is filed under the name uncultured bacterium. Its description in RNAcentral is "partial 16S ribosomal RNA". It matches the Rfam family "Bacterial small subunit ribosomal RNA", at positions 338 to 795 of the family's 1533-position model. The record is from RNAcentral.
CCUACGGGUGGCAGCAGUCGAGAAUCAUUCACAAUGGGGGAAACCCUGAUGGUGCGACGCCGCGUGGGUGAAUGAAGGUCUUCGGAUUGUAAACCCCUGUCAUGUGGGAGCAAAUUAAAAAGAUAGUACCACAGGAGGAAGAGACGGAUAACACGGGGACAGCAGCCGCGGUAAUACAGAGGGCUCAAGCGUUGAUCGGAAGCACUGGGCGUAAAGGGUACGUAGGCGGUUUCGUAAGUCGGGUGUGAAAGGCGCGGUGUGAACCCGCGGACGGCAUAUGAUACUGGGAGACUAGAGUAAUGGAGGGGGAACCGGAAUUCUCGGUGUAGCAGUGAAAUGCGUAGAUAUCGAGAGGAACACUCGUGGCGAAGGCGGGUUCCUGGACAUGAACUGACGCUGAGGCACGAAGGCCAGGGGAGCGAAAGGGAUUAGAUACCCGAGUAGUC